CCCCGGGCUGGGGAGCCCAGACCCCGGCAGUCCAGCAGCCUACAGACGAUCCAUGUCCGUCGUGUAACUCACCGCGCUGGGGAUCCGCCUCCUCCCGCCAGGGCGAGGGCGCCGUCCUCCCGCGUGUGCUGCGCAGGCGCGCCCCGCCCGCCCGGUCACGCGCUACAGUGCUCGGGCACGGGAUCACGCCUACAGCCCAAGAGGCUGGGAAAAUGCCGCCCUGUCCCUGAACAGGAAGCGGAAGCAGGAAGGAACUGAGAACACUGGCAUCUGCUACCGCCCUGAAUCAGCGUUGGCAUGUGGAGGCAACCUCAGCCCCCAGUUUUUUGAAAAGGUAAUUCGGAUUUGUACCCAGGAAUUAUGGUGAGGAUAGAAAUGGACUGGAAGGUUCCUUCCCCUUGCCCACCAAGACUCCAGAGCAGGUGGGUUCCUGAUGUCUACUCUGCAUGAAGCCCUGGGCUUUCCACACCUCCCUACUUUUCCUCCGAACUCACAGCACAGCUGAGCCAAAAUGUAUUCCUGCCAAAACGGGCAUUUCCCAAAAGAAAAUACUGUUUUAGA
Mandrillus leucophaeus (drill) is the source of this 561-nucleotide long non-coding RNA. RefSeq lists it as uncharacterized. NCBI's taxonomy places the organism in Eukaryota, Metazoa, Chordata, Mammalia, Primates, Cercopithecidae. The transcript has 2 exons. The record is from RefSeq and is a predicted model, not a curated record.